RNAcentral lists this ribosomal RNA (484 nucleotides) under uncultured bacterium. RNAcentral describes it as "partial 16S ribosomal RNA". It matches the Rfam family "Bacterial small subunit ribosomal RNA", at positions 29 to 507 of the family's 1533-position model. The record is from RNAcentral.
AUUGAACGCUGGCGGCAUGCUUUACACAUGCUAGUCGAACGGCAGCGCGGGCUUCGGCCUGGCGGCGAGUGGCGAACGGGUGAGUAAUACAUCGGAACGUGCCCGGUAGUGGGGGAUAGCUCGGCGAAAGCCGGAUUAAUACCGCAUACGACCUGAGGGUGAAAGCGGGGGAUCUUCGGACCUCGCGCUAUUGGAGCGGCCGAUGGCAGAUUAGCUAGUUGGUGGGGUAAAGGCCUACCAAGGCGACGAUCUGUAGCUGGUCUGAGAGGACGACCAGCCACACUGGGACUGAGACACGGCCCAGACUCCUACGGGAGGCAGCAGUGGGGAAUUUUGGACAAUGGGCGAAAGCCUGAUCCAGCAAUGCCGCGUGUGUGAUGAAGGCCUUCGGGUUGUAAAGCACUUUUGGCGGGAACGAAAAGGACUGUGCCAAUACCACGGUUCGAUGACGGUACCCGCAGAAUAAGCACCGGCUAACUACGUG